This 2114-nucleotide long non-coding RNA is filed under the name Populus tremula. RNAcentral describes it as "long non-coding RNA (PTRE_LNC000481)". Lineage: Eukaryota; Viridiplantae; Streptophyta; Magnoliopsida; Malpighiales; Salicaceae. The record is from RNAcentral.
AAACAUCCAUUAUGCAGAUUACAAUUAACUUUUUCUCCAUCUAACCUAGUGGAUGUUGGCGGAAAUUAUAAGCAGUCCAUUUGUUAAUAUAUUCUUACCAAGAGUAAUAAAAACAACAAAUCAUAGAAAAAAAUUUAAUCAACAAUUGCAAUCCACCAACAAGGGGCCAAACCUUAUUCCAAGCUAGCAUUGCUCAAAACACAGCACAGAAAAAAUGCUGUUUUCCAAAGCAACCAUACGAGGAACAUUAGAUACAGUCCCCCAGUUGGAAAUUUAAAAUAAUAAACUGGAAGAAUGGGAAACUAAAUAACAUGUUUUUUCGAAUCUCCAUCUCAAAUAAAACCUGUUUUUCCAACCAAAUUAUCAAACUCAACAUUAUGAAAUCGAUAUCACCAGGAUCUUGCCAGUGAUUCUGCUGGGUUCAAUAUUUAUGUUCUUAAAAGAUCACUUGCAAAUAAAACUACUAUAAUCAUCAGGACUGUUAUUGCAGUAAGCCCAUCAUCUGUAAACAAGGAGAUGCAAUAAGGUUUUAAGGAACAUCAUGCAGAAUACAAAAGGCAAAUCAUUCUUGGCACAAAUUAGUACCACAUCAUGGCCAGAGUGAUAACAUCACAAGCCAAUUAUCAAGGGUACUAAUUACAAUGUCUUAAAUUCUCAACCAUUCCUAACAGGUGCCAAUUAAAGUCACUUAACUUUCUCAAACAGGUGAAUCUCACUGGAAUAAAAAUGAGAGGUAUCAAGAGAUCGGAGGGUUACUUUCUAUUUGUAAUCCAACAAUUGGACAACAAAAAAAGAAAAGACUCAAGAAUUGUCACUAACUAUAUGUCUCCAAACAGGCUCCUCUUGAGUUUUCUUUUCAUUUUUCAUUUUUCAUUUUUUCAUUUUUUUGUUACAAAAGAGAGGUUUGAACUCAAGAACUUUAGAGGGGAAGGAGAAGACUAAUACUAGUUGAGCUACAACUCAAUAGCUUGCGAUCUUUGAAUUUAAUAGGUAACUCUCCAAAACAAGUACUGCAACGCGUUGCUGAGCAGAAGUAAAAUCUUAAUCUAUUAUUGAUCUGAUGGUCUUCCCAAAAAUGGUACAAGAACUGAAUACUCCACAUAGCUUAUCAUAGAUUCAAACCCGCUCUAUCAUCUUACAAUUCUAAAAUAUCAUGCAUGCAAGAAAGAUUGAAUUCUUUCCAAAAUGAUCCAAGAACCCCAAGCUCCAAAAUUCCCAAUCCGAGAUUUGGAUCCUCACCAAUUAUCAAGUAGAUUUCUUCUUAAAAUUCCUCUACUUCUUCUAUCCAUCCAAAGUUAUGCAAUCGAAAACCUAUCAAUCAUUAAAGUGAACCAUAAUUAUAUAUACCUGCUUGAUAUAGGUAUUCAAUGAUAUGGCAACAAAUUAACUGAAAUCCAGUAAUUUAGGUAUGAAUGAAUGAUCGGUGGGAAUCACGAGAAAUAUUGAGGCAAAAAUGCGUGGGAAACCUUUCAACUACAGAUCAAGUUAAGAGAUCUCUUACAUUUCAAGAAUUGAGAUUUAGACCCCUCGAAUUGUCUAUUAAUUUACUAAAACCCCGUCCAUUUGAUUCAAUCAAUUCAGCAUCUAAGAGAUAACAAUAAAUGUAUCACCUACAAUCACAUGAUCUUCGAGAUAACAUGUUAGCUCGUGCAUGAACAACAGAACAGUUUUGAGACUACUUCAUAUCAACUCAUAAAUUCGGGAUUUCAGCACUCCUUAAUCUAUUUUUAUUUUUAUUUUAAUCAAAUUCACAAGAUACAAAUCCAACUCUACAUAUUGAAAUUCAAAUCCCGUAUCCAUGCCAAAUUACUGGAUGAGAUUAACAAUUAGAUUCCAAAUUACACUAACAAGUCAUGAACAACUUAUAAUACUCUUAAAUUACCGAUGAUGACAGCACUAAUAUAUAAAAACGAGAGACAAAUCGCUUACAAUAACAAAGUGAAGCAAAGUAACGGAUUCGCUGAUCAAUCAGACCAGCGUCAAUGGAAGCCAGGAAGGUGAAAAAUCCGGUUGGUAGUUAACUCUAAAAUCGCUCUGGGGCUGCCGCGGCAAUCGCGCGCACAACCACUGGUUUUGAUUUUGAAGCCGGGAACAUGAAAAUAAUUUGGUGCGGG